RNAcentral lists this transfer RNA (66 nucleotides) under Alloprevotella tannerae. It matches the Rfam family "tRNA", at positions 5 to 66 of the family's 71-position model. From Rfam's summary of the family: Transfer RNA (tRNA) molecules are approximately 80 nucleotides in length. Lineage: Bacteria; Pseudomonadati; Bacteroidota; Bacteroidia; Bacteroidales; Prevotellaceae. The record is from RNAcentral. RNAcentral also lists the same sequence under 1 other name.
CAUGUAGUUCAGUUGGUUAGAGCGUCAGAUUGUGGUUCUGAAUGUCGUGGGUUCGAGUCCCAUCUU